This is a long non-coding RNA of Fukomys damarensis (Damara mole-rat), 826 nucleotides long. RefSeq lists it as uncharacterized. The transcript has 3 exons. Lineage: Eukaryota; Metazoa; Chordata; Mammalia; Rodentia; Bathyergidae. The record is from RefSeq and is a predicted model, not a curated record.
GCAGGAUCCCCCCUGGGGCUGGGCAAGCACAGGGCUGUACACUGUACCUUGCACCCUGUUCCUUGCCACCCUAGAAGUGCCAGGCCCAGUGCCCAGGACGCCCCAAGAGAACGAACCAGCCUCAGUCUGCAGAGUGGAGAAGACCCUGGACUAAGGAGACAUGGUCCCAGACUCAUGCAAGUGGCCCAAGAUGUCCCACAGAGAUGUGCAGGAAAACAGGAAGGCAUGUCACUAUAAGCAGAAACACACAGACGGUACAGACAAGCUACACAAGUAACAAAGGGAGACAAGGGAACCAACUGGUAACUGUGGUGCAGGUGGUAGUGAAUUUUCAGCGUUUCCAGUAGGAAUAAUUCUAAGACUUCCUGCCUCAGCUUCCUAAUGUCUGGACGUCCAUAAUAACUUGCAAAAACUAAAAUUUGAGAAGCCAGCUCCAGCCCUGCAAACAUACAAACCAGGACUAAAAGCAGCUUUCGUGGAAGAUGGGGAUGGCCAGGACACACCUCCCAGACCAGCCAGUCACAGGUGGGGCUCCUGCACCUCGAUGGGAGUCAGUCACCCAGGUGCCACCAGACAAGCCCCAGCAGGCCCGGGAGACGCCUCGACAUCCUGGAGAGGGGCGUCCCGGAGAGAGGAGCGGGGUAGUCAAAUAAUCCUUCCAGAAGUGUAACUGUGGUGAACAUUCAUGAAGAGCUUUGGUGCACUGAUUUUACAUUAACUUUCCUCUUUUCGUUCCUGGGGACUGAACCUAGGACCUCUUGUUUUACUACAGACUAUACCUUCAGGCCCACACUACUUUUAAUAACGGAACCAGUAAAGACAUAAA